GGAGAGAGAGACAGCAACCUGGAGAUUUUCACAUUUUAUUCGCUUACAUCGAAAAAUGGUUACUUACAGGUUUCACCAGUACCAGGUUGUUGGAAGAGGGUUGCCUACUGAGAAUGACGAGCACCCUAAGAUUUACAGGAUGAAGCUGUGGGCCACGAAUGAGGUUCGCGCAAAGUCCAAGUUCUGGUACUUCCUCAGGAAGCUGAAGAAGGUCAAGAAGAGCAACGGCCAAGUUCUUGCUAUCAAUGAGGUAUAAAUGCUAAAUGUCAAUUUAGUGUUGGCACAGCUGAUUGCGAGGAUAACUUGUGUAAAAAAUGUAGCAUGUGAUAGAACUUUGCAAGAAUGAUAUUUGAUUCUAAUGAUUUGUUUAUUUUGGAUUUUAGUUUCCUAUUUUGUUAUGCAUUGAAGCAGGUUUUUUGUUGUUCCAGAAUUAAUUUUAUUUCAGUGACAGAUCUUAAUAGGAUUUGAAAACUCUCCAUCUUGAUGUUUGUUUGUGCCUGCUUAUACCUUCUGUUGGUUUUCACAAUCAAUUUAUGGAAUGGAAAUUGUGAUACAUAUAUAUUUUUUCCAUGAAACCAUGCAGUCAUCUAGCCAUGAAUGCCUUUUCUUUAUAGUUUUGUGAUAUAGAUAAACAAUAUGCAUGGCUUAAUCAAUCUUGUUCUAGCCAAACUGUUAUUUACUGAAGUUGUAUGCUUAAACUUUUGAGGAAAUAUUAUGGCUGAACCAGAUUGGGUGCUUCAUUAUCUGGUCCGUGUGGAUAUAACUCAUUCCCACUUGACUCGUUCCCUUGAAGCAAUAACACUUGUGUUGCUUUUUUUAUCUCUCCCUCAGCCAUUCCCUGCUGCUUUUGGGGGAACACUGGGGCAACUACAUUUGCUCUUUUAGUCCAUGUCGUAUCCAGUCAAAAGGAACUGUAUGUACAUGAUUAUUAUUGACAUUGGAACUCUCAUUUGUGUAAAAUUUUUUAGAGCUGAAUUCGAGAAGAGAGCUUUUAUGUUAGCUAUAAUGUCUAGGGAUAUGUUUGGACUUCAAAGAAAUUAGGGUGAAGUAGUUUGGGUUGCUUCAUUAUCUGGCCAGUGUGGAUAUGACUUGUUCCCACUGACUCGUUCCCUUGAAGCAAUAUAAAGUGUGUUGCUUUAUUUUCAUCUCUCUUCCUGAGUUAUUCCAUGCUGCUUUGGAAGAACACUGGAGCAAGUACAUUUGCUCUUUAAGUUAUUCUAUUUCUCAUCCAUUUAAAAGUCACUGAAAAGUGUUGAUGCAAUAGGAAAUUUGAGUCUUGUUUAAUUUUCUUUGAAACUGAAUUUGAAUAAGAAUUUUUAUGUUAUAGCGUAACAAUUUAUGUAGGUUGAACUUGUUUGGGAUGCUUCAUUGUCUGGUCAGUGUGGAUGUAUGACUCGUUCCCUCAAAGCAAUAUAACAUCUGUUGCUUCUUUCAUCUCUCUUCCUCCUGACUGCUUUGGGGAAAGAUUGGAGCAACUACAUUUUCUCUUUAUUUUAGUUUAUUUCUUAUCUAUUUAAAGGACGCUGUACAGUCUUGUUGCACUUGGAAAUAUUAGUCCUUUGCAAUUCUUUGAAGCUGAAUUUGGAGAGAACUCAGAUUUUCUAGCCAAACUUUUACUGAAACUAUAUUCUUGAACUUUAGUUGAACUAGUUUAGUAUGCUUCAUUAUCUGGUAAUCGUGCAUUUGAUUCAUUCCCUUGAAGAAAUAUAAAUGGUUUUUCCUUGUUUCUCUCUAAGCUUUUCUUCACUGCUUUGAGAACAUUGGGGAUGCUACGUCGUCUUCAUUUUAGUAUAUUCCAAUUGCAUGGAUUAUGGAGGGCAUUAGUUGAAUUUUCUCAUUUCAUUUUUGUCUGCUAAUGUAGCAUUUAAGUUUUUUAUUUUGUGGUUUAAAUUCAAUUUACUUUCAUUUUACUUUCUUUUUUACUAAUGUUAUAUGUGAAAUUCCUUGUAGAUCUUUGAGAAAAACCCAACCAAGAUCAAGAACUAUGGCAUUUGGCUGCGUUACCAAAGCCGAACAGGUUACCACAACAUGUACAAGGAAUAUCGUGACACAACUCUCAAUGGUGCUGUGGAGCAAAUGUACAAUGAGAUGGCUUCUCGACACAGAGUCAGGUUCCCUUGCAUUCAGAUUAUAAAGACUGCCACUAUUCCUGCUAAGUUAUGCAAGAGGGAGAGCACCAAGCAGUUCCACAACUCCAAGAUAAAGUUUCCAUUGGUGUUCAAGAAGGUUAGACCACCAACUAGAAAGCUCAAGACAACAUACAAGGCAUCCAGGCCCAACUUAUUUAUGUAAACUCUAUACCCUGAUGAAUGAGGUGCAGACUGCAGAGAGAGGUGAAAGUUGGUCUAUUUCUGGAUUACAAUUUUUGUAGACUUCCUGUCAUUUUUGUUUAUUGGAUAUUGCUUUCUUUGCAAAUCUUAUAUGGUAGAUUUGUCAGAUUUGAUAUUUGGGAUA
This 2454-nucleotide unclassified non-coding RNA is filed under the name Hevea brasiliensis (rubber tree). Lineage: Eukaryota; Viridiplantae; Streptophyta; Magnoliopsida; Malpighiales; Euphorbiaceae. The record is from RNAcentral.